GAUGAACGCUAGCGAUAGGCCUAACACAUGCAAGUCGAGGGGCAUCACAUGAAGUAGCAAUACGGAUGGUGGCGACCGGCGCACGGGUGAGUAAAACACGUAUGCAACCUGCCUUCAACAAGGGGAUAACCCGUUGAAAGACGGACUAAUACCCUAUAACACAGGGGUCCCGCAUGGGAAUAUUUGUUAAAGGACAACCGGUUGAAGAUGGGCAUGCGUUCCAUUAGCUAGUUGGCGGGGUAACGGCCCACCAAGGCAACGAUGGAUAGGGGAACUGAGAGGUUUAUCCCCCACACUGGUACUGAGACACGGACCAGACUCCUACGGGAGGCAGCAGUGAGGAAUAUUGGUCAAUGGACGCAAGUCUGAACCAGCCACGUCGCGUGAAGGAAGACGGCCCUACGGGUUGUAAACUUCUUUUAUACGGGAAUAAAGUGCCCCACGCGUGGGGUUUUGCAUGUACCGUAUGAAUAAGGAUCGGCUAACUCCGUG
Molecule: ribosomal RNA, 492 nt
Filed under: uncultured bacterium
Lineage: Bacteria
Description: bacterial SSU rRNA
Rfam family: Bacterial small subunit ribosomal RNA
Source: RNAcentral